UGUCAGACGGACUCGCUGACCAGAAUCUUCCACAUCACAGCUCAGUCGGUGCUCUGUCUUCUGAAACAACAUCAUGCUUUUUCCUAUUAUUUUGUGUUGGAUGUGUUGCUUUGUCUGCAGGGCAAUCUUUGCUUCAACACCUACAAUGGGACCAACGACUAUCACGACACAGGUGACAACACCUCCAACUCUUACUACCCCUUACGUGGACCCACCUUUUGGUACUAAACCCCUGGAAAGUGGAUUUGCAAUUCUUCAGGUCGCUGUCCAAUCGUAUCAGGAGCUAAAUGAGACUACAGUUGAUCCAGUCUUCAGUCAGAUCUACAACAUCGUUCGGGCGAAGCGACCUGAUUUGAAAUUUCGACUGACCGUGAAAACUGUCCAGAAAGUUUGAUGGAUUAUGAUCCAAGGCAUAGCAGAUUGAAGUUCUAAUGGUACAUCAUGUUCUGCAGAUGUGAACUAUUGUACUGUAUUUUCAAUGAUUUUAUGCUGUUUAAUAUCAGUCAUUAUAUUCAUGUUAAUAAUAUAUUUGAACKUAUMAUUUMAUUGACUUAUAUUGACAUGCUGCACAUUCCUGUCACCAUCUGGGGGAGGAGCUGUAAUUCAAGAGUUAUGUCACAACUUUUCCCACUUUCAUAGAAUCUUGUCAUCUGCUUCCAGUGUUUUCUGAUGGAUUUGAU
Long non-coding RNA from Salvelinus sp. IW2-2015, 680 nucleotides. RefSeq lists it as uncharacterized. NCBI's taxonomy places the organism in Eukaryota, Metazoa, Chordata, Actinopteri, Salmoniformes, Salmonidae. The record is from RefSeq and is a predicted model, not a curated record.